RNAcentral lists this long non-coding RNA (2198 nucleotides) under Pseudonaja textilis. Its description in RNAcentral is "lncRNA (ENSPTXG00000008413.1)". Lineage: Eukaryota; Metazoa; Chordata; Lepidosauria; Squamata; Elapidae. The record is from RNAcentral.
CAUCAGUUAAGCUUAAUUAAAGAAAAACUUAAAUUUUGUUUUUAUAUUAGUCCCACUACUAUAGUAAUGAGAAAGUUAUGACUCUCCAUAUAUUAACCAUUAACUUAAGUGUGCACAAUAAGACAUUCUAUUUUAGAAAUGGGAAUAUGUGUGGCUGCUUUAGAUUUAAUUCACUGUAGUCCUCAUGAAUACCUUCCCUAAAGUUGAAAACUAAUUUGCUUUUAAUCUACACUCUACAUCCACAGGAAUCUGAGGAAGAGGAUGAAGAUGAGGAUGAGGAGGAUGAAGAGGAAGAUGAGGAUGAGGAUGAGAAUGGUGAUUCCUCUGAGGAGGGAGGAGACUCUUCAGAUUCAAGUAGUGAAGAGGAGAGUGAAGAUGGGGAAGAGAAUGAAGAAGAGGAUGAUGAAGAAGAUGACGAUGACGAUGAGGACAAUGAAUCAGAAGGCAGCAGCAGUUCCUCAUCCUCUUCAGGAGACUCUUCCGAUUCGGACUCCAACUGAAUUGUCUUUCAUCUUCCACCUUCCUUGCUGUACUUUAUUCGGUUUUGUUUUUCCGGAUAAUAGUAACAUUGGAAAGCUGGGAAUGGGGAAGAAACAGAGGGGGCGGGGGGUGGGGGGGAAUCACUGUGGUUUAAUUCACUUCCUUUCUUCACACACCUCACAUUGCAUUAACGAUGUGUGGGUAUGGCAGAGAGGAGCAAGGGGCGGGGUACACAAUAGCUGACAACCAGCUGAGGGGUGUACUUUUCCCUUUUUUAUGGCUGAUGAUAGUGUGGGGAGAGAACUUCAUUAUAUAAUCCCUUCUCUCUCCCUCCCCUUAAAUCUCUGUUUAUGAGAGAUGACAGGGGUCAUAGCAAAAUCCAGACUCCUAUAACUUCUUUUCCCCCUCUCAUCUUCAUCCUUCUUCCAACCCCCAGUUCUAGCCACCAGCUUGGGACUUUGUACAAAUCCUUUUUUAAACAACAACAUGGCAAUGAGAGACAUUUCCCCCUUUUUCUCCAUCAACCCCAGCAAACAGCCAAGGAGAGAUGGAUUCUGAAAGAGCGCGAGCUGUGGGAAUUUGCCAGUGAGCCCCAUCACUCCUCAUAAUGGACAAUCUUGUAUAGUCUUGAUCUUUCACAUUUUAACAAAAGAGAAAGAGAGAAAGCAAACAAAGUGGCUGCAACUGCACUUAGCAAUUUCCUGUGACAAACUGGAUAUCCAGCAUUUCCUGCUGAGGGAAAUGGGGGUUGGGGAGGGUCAUAUUUUGUGUGAGCGUGUUGCAAGAGUCAAGGGAUAGAAGAGGAACUGAAGAACAGGAUUUUUUUAAUUUUAUUUUUUUGCAAAGGGGAAAUGUCUGGCAUACUGUUGAAGAUGGAGAGAAUUUCAAGAACUUCAAGUGACUGGCUUUAUUUUGCUGGAGAUGGACUUUUCUGUCAUUUUUCUGACCAGCGUUUGGAUAAAGACCAUAGUAGCCAGACCCCUUUGGGUUGAUGUUGUUGUUAAUAUAUAUAUUUUUUUUUACAAUGAAGUGACCAAUAAUUGUACCAAAAUGGGGCAUUUUGUUGACUGUCUUUGGGAGGGGUGGUUGGUUGUGGGGAUCAUAUGUGUCAUUAGCAUUUUUUAAAAAAUAUUUUAUAAACCAAGUAAGACAACCAUCUUUUUUUACAACAAAACGUUCCCUCUUUGACAUUAACCUCUUUAUGUGUCUUUUACCAAAUGCAGAAUUUAGUAGUUUUAAGAUCUUGAGGAAAAAUGAUUUCUGUGAGACCGUGUAUUGAAGAAAUACAAAUGUAUGUUUUUUUUCCAACAUGUCUUGAACACACUAAGUUGAAUUUUCAAUUCAAUUCUGGACAGAAAUGUGAUGUCAGGAAAAGAUCAGGCGCACAAUUUCUCUCUUCCUGCCCCAACCCUCUCUUUUCUUUAGCAUGGCUUUUAAAUAUCUGUGGAAGUUCUGUAAAUUAGGCUAUGAUUUAGGAGAAACUUAGCUAAGCAUAUAAAUCACAAAUAACCAAUCCUAGGUGAAGUUAAUAUUUUGUAUGUAGGCAUUGCAAUAAAACAAAGUUAAGUGAUAACAGAAGUGAAAGAUUCCAAUCUUGGAUUUCAUAGGUACAUCGAAUUUUUAAAAAGGGUGGAGAUCAUAUAAGGUAAAGGUGUGAGAAUAAGCUCCUAAAUCAUCUCCAAAGGUUUGAGAAUAAGCUCCAAUCAUCUCCAAAUAGG